GAGUUAAGGCAGAGUCCUGAGUACCUUGGGGAAGGCACCUUCCAGCCUGGUCCAGCCAGGUGCUGGAGGAUGAGCUUUCUAAGAAAGACUCACUAGAAUGUCCCUAUUGUCAUAGGGGACAGGAUGUGGUGGCUAGCGCUGUCCUGAUCCUUCUGGCAUUGUCAGGCACCACACUUUAGGCCAGUUUUGCUCCUCCAGGCAUGCGUGACACGCCAGUGUGGCAGGCCUGAGGAAGGUGCCCUGGCUUUUCAUCUACUUUCCUAGAGCCCAGUCCACGUCUCUGCUUCUCUAGGCAGCAUGGCUUGCUGGGGAAGGGGCCAGUGAUACUUAAUUCAUCUGCCUAAGAGCCUGAAACUAGGGGCAUCUGCCUCUGUGCUGUGGCCACCAGAGCCACCUGUUUCCCUCCCGUGGAUGUCUCAGUCGAGCCACCUUGGAGCCCUGGGAACAAGGAUGCCAUUGUGACCAGGAGGGAAGUGUCGCCCCGUUGAUCGAUCUGCCUGUGAGGCUCCCGCCAAGAAAAUGGAUUUUGAUUUUGUAGGGAUGGAGUGGGUGGGAAACGAGGCUCAGAAUCCGCUGGGCUGUGUUCUACACCCGCUAGCAGCUCAGGACAGACCCACAGACUUGGCUCCAAAAGUCCUGCUGUCUGGGAGAAGGUAGGCCUUUCUCACGUGGCUUGACUUCCUGCUGCCUAUCAGCUGUGAUGUCAACACCAUGAAGGAUGGUGUGUCUGCUUCUCUUAGGGCUCUUCUGGCUUCAGAGGUACACACCAGUCCCAGCCCCUCCUUAGCCCCUCCUUUCAGGCCCACACCAUUUUGGUACCCAAGAAGAGGAGGGAGUGAUGAGACACCCAGCAGGGCAGGAUUCCGGCCCCAGCCACGGCCGCCUGAGACAGCCCACGAAGUGUUAGCUCAUUUAAUUUAAUUAAAACUCAACAAGAUGGAGGCAGCUGUAGUGCAGUUAAUUAAAACAGCCAUAAUCAAGGCAGGAAAUGGUCCGGCAGUGUUUGUGGCUGCUGCCCAGCACAGCACAGAGGCCGGCAUGGCUCCGCUCCCCUGUAUUUGUUCAUGGGUGCCCCCAGGCAGGUUCCCCAUGCUGCCAGACGGUCCUCCCCGCAGGCCUGACUCCUCCCCGGAAUGGCAUUGACUGUCUGUGGCAGGCAGCAGUUCUGGGAAGGCCCGCUGUCUGCAGCAUUUGUUCAUCAAGUAUUUAUGUAGCGCUUGCUGUGUGCCAGACCCCGUGCCACCCCUCCCCUGCCCAUGACUCCCCGGGAUGCUGCGCAGGCCUCUUCCUUCUUGUCCGCACAGUGACCGACAGCACUUCCUCCUCCUUGAGCAAACCUCCUGCCCUCCCUCGGGCUUUGCCACCCCUGAUUUCCUCGAGCUGUGCUGUUGUCUCCUUGCCUGAAGCCCAGGUGGGUUCUUCUAGCCCAGAGACCUGCCAGCCUCACCUUUGCUCUAACAGUCUGUCCUCCAGCAGGCAAACCCAUUGCUUCUGGUGCUUCAGUCACCGCCUCCUUAUCUGUCCUGAUACUGGUCAACCCAGCCCAGAUAUCCUGUGAGCUCCAGGUCCCACAUUUGAUGGGUGCUGUCUGGAUUUCACCCUAUCAUGGAUGAGCAAUGACUUCUUUACAAACAGCCCUUCCCUGCUCCUGUUGACCAUUUGUCCAUGAGUAGCAACCUCACCCCCACCCCCAGAGCCCAGCCCCCCAUUUAGUAAGGAUCCACAUCCUCUUCAUGCCUCACCAAAUGGAUCUCAGAUUGGUGCCUUCUUUCUUUCUGUUGCCUCUGUCCUAGCCUGGGACACCACUCCUGUUCUCCCUGCCUCUAAACUUGCUCUGAAAACUCUGUCCUCCGGCAGCUGUUGGUGUUGUCCAUUCAUCUUCCUCCUAGACUCCGAGAGCCAGCGCUGGACCCUGGGCUCCUAACCCUUGCCCCUGCCUGCUUGGUCAGAUAUGUGCUCCUGGUCAGGGACCCUGCUCAAUCACAUGCUGGCUUUAUCUCGUCCUGUCCUAUCUACAUGCACCUUAUUAGUUCUGUGGCCUUAGGUAACUUUGUCAGUUUUCAUAUCUUGCAAAGUAGCUGCAUUAAGGACACAGUGACACUUUGCGGCCUGGUUUGUGGUAAAGGCUCUGUCCCUGCCUGCUGCCACUUACAGGUAACCACGAUGACCCAUCCUUGCCCACCUGGCCCUCCGCUCACUUUAGCUUCUUCCACUGGGCACCUGCACCCAGCUUCUGACUACUCCCUCAGGAGCCACCCUGCUUCAUGCUGUCAGCGUUUGUCUCCAGCCCUACUUACCUAGGCUGGGUGUGGGAGGAGCUGGGACAGAUUUGCUUGGUAAGGUGCCCCUCCCCACCAUACCCGGCUCUCUGUAAGUCCUCAUUGAGGAAUUACUUUAUUGACCUUUGGGACUUAUGACUGAAGAUGAUAUCUACUCAUUUGACCUUUCCUGCUCCAGGAAGCUGUGACUUAAGGAUCAUAAAUAGGCCAGGGAGGGUGUGUGCCCAGUGCUUGGGAUGAAGCCGUGUGAGGACAUCCCUUCACAGAGUGGGCUCAGGCCCCUAUUAUACACUCGCCUAUGUCCAAGACCCCUUGUGGUUUUCAUGUCACCCACAGUUCACAGGGUGCUUUUCUACCCUUAUUACCUCAGAGUCUCUUGCAGCGUCUCUGCAGCAGGACAGGCCGUGUUGAUUAUGUCUACUUUCCGCAGGUCAAGGGGUCACACGUGGAGGUCCUGGGAGGUAACCCGGGGAGGUCCUUCUAACAGCAUAUCCUAACCCUGGAGUCUGAGAAGUAGUUGUAUCCAUCAGAGCUCCAGACAUUAGCUCUCCAGACCUCAGGUCCCCCUGGCGGUCUCUACAGUGCCGCCAGCAUCUGUGAGCCAUAGCACAUCUGUACACAUCAGCUCUGUUUGAAGGGCUCUUUUCCCGCUGCAGCCAUGGGAUCCCCGCCUCGGUACCCCAUGGGCCACUUGAGCUUGAGACCUCAGGCAAGCCCAUGCAGAAAGGACGCCUGCUGUGGCAGUGGCCGAAUUGGGGCUGUCAAGUGGAGAUGGCAGCUCUGCCUGCAGGAGGAGGCCUCUGUUCCCUCUGAUGAGAUGCUCCUGGCUUCUCCCUCUGCUGGCUGGCCCAGCUCUGACUGGAAGAGCCUAUCUACCCUGCCUUGCUCUGUCUUUGACUGGGUCUUCCAGAAUGGUGCAGUCAGCAUGUGAGUUCACUGGCACGAAUCUCUUGGGGAGGCUGACACUUGGGCCCCUUCAGUGCCAUAUACGUGUCUAGUGAAACAGAAAAGCCAGAUUCUCAGUCAGUGGGUUAAGUGGAGAGAGAACAGAAGCCACAGGCUUGGCUUCAGUGCCAGGCUGUGCACACUACAGCCCCCGCCCCAGCUCCAGCCUAGACUGUAGGAGGUCAGUGCUUGUCAACUUUCUGGUCUUAGUAUUGCUAACUUUAGCUCAGAGGACCGUAAGGUAGUUUUGUUUAGCUGGCUUAUACCUAUUGAUCUUUACCGUAUUAGACAUUUAAGAUAGAAGAUUUUAAAUGUUUACUAAUUAUUUUAAAAUAAUUUAAAAACUAUCAAGUGUUACCAUAAAUAAACAUUCUAAAAUAAAAAAGAUAAUUGUGUACUCUAAGACAAAAAAUAUUUACUUAGGAAAACCUCACUGUUAAUUUGGAGCUUCAGUGUGGCUGCGUUCAGCCUGUUAACAGCGUUACAGGUUGUGAACCCUUCAGGAAAUGACACUGUAUGUACAUAAGAGAAAGCAUCUAAAUAAGGCAGAUAGUUCUGGUUUUGAAACAAGACCUUUACUGUAUAGCCCUGGGCAUGAUACUCUAUAGAGCCCAGCCUCUCCUAGAACUUGCUGCAGUCACCCUGUCUCAGCCUCCCAAGUGUUAGGAUUACAGGCAGACUCCACACCCCCUCCCCAGUCUUAGUAUUGUAGGAACUACUAAUUGUAGGCUUUAUUCUGGUGGACUCCCUAAAAGGUUCUCAGUGAUUCCCUCUCCCCCCAAACACACACACGCGCACGCAUGCAUGCACGCAUGCACGCAUACACACCCCUCUGGAGCACACAUGGAGAAUCUCUAUGUUGGUCUAGUAUCACUUUCCUAUAUGAACACAUCACUCCCUCCCCAGCCCCCACCGGUGCCUUCUAGCUUCCGUAUCUGCAGGAUGUCCGUCAGGAAGGCUCCAAGUUAGACUGGUUCGAUCCUGUUGCCUCACAUAAAAGCCUUUUACUGUUUCCAGGCCUCCUUUUCCUCAUUCGUGCAUAGAGAUGGGUAUUUUUUCCAGAUGGGUGUUGCCAAGUUUGAUGGGACAGGAACUGAUCUCUGGCCCCAGCACUUCCAACCCAACCCCCACUGAAGGAUCGAGAGGGUGGAUAGACUCGGAUCUGGGUCAGUCUAUAGGUUCCUGGGUCAGUCUAGGUCCCACUGAAGGAGCUAGAGGGUGGAUAGACUCGGAUCUGGGUCAGUCUAUAGGUUCCACUGAAGGAGCUAGAGGGUGGAUAGACUUGGAUCUGGGUCAGUCUAUAGGUUCCUGGCUCCGGUGGUUGAACUGGAAGUCUCGGGACAGGCACCUGUGGAAGGCAAACCUACUAAGGGUUCGUAACAGGCCUGGCUUAGGAAGACAAAUGCCUGCCUCUUUUGGCUGCCGAUCCCAGGGGUCUGAAGCACCAGACACACAGGGGUGGGUGCUGACCCUUUGCCUCUCACCAGAUAGGCUGAGGAGCUCUGGCUACUCUAUCCUAAUAGGGGCAGGUGGGUUUUACAGGCUGUUAGCCACCGGGGUUUGAGUUGAGUCCCACGCUUCCCCUGUUGGAUGCCAGGGCUGCUCUGUGCCUUGGGAUCCCUGAUUCAUCAUGGUAACCUAUGUGAGCUCUCCCCUUAACCCUGCCUGCUUAAAUGCCCUGGUUUUGUUUUGGUAAGUGCUCUCCUUGGACGCUUACCCUGUGGGAUUUGGGCGGUCUUUGGGGUGGUUGCUGCUCCCGUUUCUCUCCAUCAGCCCAGCCAGCAAGGGUCAUAGGAGCCCAGCCCCACCUCCCUGAUUCCUGUCAACGCCUCUGCCAGUUCCAGUUCUCUGCUUCCCCCGAGCAGUGCUAGUGACCCAGGGGACAUGCUUCACCCACACUCAGCCUGGCCCAGCCUAGUGCUUGCUCACACAACAC
Molecule: long non-coding RNA, 5160 nt
Organism: Mus musculus (house mouse)
Lineage: Eukaryota; Metazoa; Chordata; Mammalia; Rodentia; Muridae
Product: predicted gene, 40235
Exons: 2
Source: RefSeq, a predicted model, not a curated record